GGAGUCGGCCAGACAGUCGCGUCAUUGGAAACAAUGCCGAGGAAAGUCCGGGCUCCACAGGGCACGGUGCCAGGUAACGCCUGGGCGGCGCAAGCCGACGGAAAGUGCAACAGAAAGAUACCGCCGAUGGCCCUGUCACCCCUGUAUCGCCCAGUCAUGUCCGGACUUGGCGGCGCGCGUAGCGCGGCGACCAAGUCCUCCCUCGGGGUUUGAGGGAGAGCUCGGGUACUUGGCGACGCGCGUAGCGCGGCGACCAAGUCCUUCCCUCGGGGUUUGGGGGAAAGCUCGGGUACUUGGCGACGCGCGUAGCGCGGCGACCAAGUCCUCCCUCAGGGUUUGAGGGAGAGCUCGGGUACUUGGCGGCGCGCGUAGCGCGGCGACCAAGUCCUCCCUCAGGGUUUGAGGGAGAGCUCGGGUACUUGGCGACGCGCGUAGCGCGGCGACCAAACCCAUCCCUCAGGGUUGGAGGAUGGUUUGGCGAUACAGGGGUGGCAGGGCACAGGUAAGGGUGAAAUGGUGCGGUAAGAGCGCACCGCGAGUCCGGUAACGGACCGGCACGGCAAACCCCACCGGGAGCAAGACCAAAUAGGGAGGCUAUGCUGCGGCCCGCAGUGCCUCCGGGUAGGUUGCUUGAGCGUAGCGGCGACGCUGCGCCUAGAGGAAUGACUGUCCACGACAGAACCCGGCUUACCGGCCGGCUCCGCCG
This 706-nucleotide RNase P RNA is filed under the name Pseudoxanthomonas wuyuanensis. RNAcentral's name for it is "Pseudoxanthomonas sp. XC21-2 Bacterial RNase P class A". It matches the Rfam family "Bacterial RNase P class A". From Rfam's summary of the family: Ribonuclease P (RNase P) is a ubiquitous endoribonuclease, found in archaea, bacteria and eukarya as well as chloroplasts and mitochondria. Its best characterised activity is the generation of mature 5'-ends of tRNAs by cleaving the 5'-leader elements of precursor-tRNAs. Cellular RNase Ps are ribonucleoproteins. The record is from Rfam by way of RNAcentral. Lineage: Bacteria; Pseudomonadati; Pseudomonadota; Gammaproteobacteria; Lysobacterales; Lysobacteraceae.